Molecule: ribosomal RNA, 497 nt
Filed under: uncultured bacterium
Lineage: Bacteria
Description: partial 16S ribosomal RNA
Rfam family: Bacterial small subunit ribosomal RNA
Source: RNAcentral
GACGAACGCUGGCGGCGUGCCUAAUACAUGCAAGUAGAACGCUGAAGAGAGGAGCUUACUCUUCUUGGAUGAGUUGCGAACGGGUGAGUAACGCGUAGGUAACCUGUCUUGUAGCGGGGGAUAACUAUUGGAAACGAUAGCUAAUACCGCAUAACAAUGGAUGACACAUGUCAUUUAUUUGAAAGGGGCAAUUGCUCCACUACAAGAUGGACCUGCGUUGUAUUAGCUAGUAGGUGAGGUAAUGGCUCACCUAGGCGACGAUACAUAGCCGACCUGAGAGGGUGAUCGGCCACACUGGGACUGAGACACGGCCCAGACUCCUACGGGAGGCAGCAGUAGGGAAUCUUCGGCAAUGGGGGCAACCCUGACCGAGCAACGCCGCGUGAGUGAAGAAGGUUUUCGGAUCGUAAAGCUCUGUUGUAAGUCAAGAACGGGUGUGAGAGUGGAAAGUUCACACUGUGACGGUAGCUUACCAGAAAGGGACGGCUAACUACGUG